RNAcentral lists this ribosomal RNA (326 nucleotides) under uncultured bacterium. RNAcentral's name for it is "bacterial SSU rRNA". It matches the Rfam family "Bacterial small subunit ribosomal RNA", at positions 568 to 898 of the family's 1533-position model. The record is from RNAcentral.
UCCGUAGGCGGUUUAGUAAGUCAGUGGUGAAAGCCCAUCGCUCAACGGUGGAACGGCCAUUGAUACUGCUAGACUUGAAUUAUUAGGAAGUAACUAGAAUAUGUAGUGUAGCGGUGAAAUGCUUAGAGAUUACAUGGAAUACCAAUUGCGAAGGCAGGUUACUACUAAUUGAUUGACGCUGAUGGACGAAAGCGUGGGUAGCGAACAGGAUUAGAUACCCUGGUAGUCCACGCCGUAAACGAUGGAUACUAGCUGUUGGGAGCAAUCUCAGUGGCUAAGCGAAAGUGAUAAGUAUCCCACCUGGGGAGUACGUUCGCAAGAAUGAA